Molecule: ribosomal RNA, 503 nt
Filed under: uncultured bacterium
Lineage: Bacteria
Description: partial 16S ribosomal RNA
Rfam family: Bacterial small subunit ribosomal RNA
Source: RNAcentral
AUUGAACGCUGGCGGCAGGCUUAACACAUGCAAGUCGAGCGGGGUGAUGGUGCUUGCACUAUCACUUAGCGGCGGACGGGUGAGUAAUGCUUAGGAAUCUGCCUAUUAGUGGGGGACAACAUCUCGAAAGGGAUGCUAAUACCGCAUACGUUCUACGGGAGAAAGCAGGGGAUCACUUGUGACCUUGCGCUAAUAGAUGAGCCUAAGUCGGAUUAGCUAGUUGGUGGGGUAAAGGCCUACCAAGGCGACGAUCUGUAGCGGGUCUGAGAGGGUGAUCCGCCACACUGGGACUGAGACACGGCCCAGACUCCUACGGGAGGCAGCAGUGGGGAAUAUUGGACAAUGGGGGGAACCCUGAUCCAGCUAUGCCGCGUGUGUGAAGAAGGCCUUAUGGUUGUAAAGCACUUUAAGCGAGGAGGAGGCUCUUUUGGUUAAUACCCAAGAUGAGUGGACGUUACUCGCAGAAUAAGCACCGGCUAACUCUGUGCCAGCCGCCGCAGUAA